GAUGAACGCUGGCUACAGGCUUAACACAUGCAAGUCGAGGGGAAACGACGGGGAAGCUCGCUUCCCCGGGCGUCGACCGGCGCACGGGUGAGUAACGCGUAUCCAACCUGCCUCUGACUGAGGGAUAACCCGUCGAAAGUCGGCCUAAUACCUCAUGGCAUCGUCUGCGGGCAUCCAACGACGAUUAAAGAUUUCAUCGGUCAGGGAUGGGGAUGCGUCUGAUUAGCUAGUUGGCGGGGUAACGGCCCACCAAGGCGACGAUCAGUAGGGGUUCUGAGAGGAAGGUCCCCCACAUUGGAACUGAGACACGGUCCAAACUCCUACGGGAGGCAGCAGUGAGGAAUAUUGGUCAAUGGGCGAGAGCCUGAACCAGCCAAGUAGCGUGCAGGAUGACGGCCCUAUGGGUUGUAAACUGCUUUUAUGCGGGGAUAAAGUGAGGGACGUGUCCUUCAUUGCAGGUACCGCAUGAAUAAGGACCGGCUAAUUCCGUG
Molecule: ribosomal RNA, 491 nt
Filed under: uncultured bacterium
Lineage: Bacteria
Description: partial 16S ribosomal RNA
Rfam family: Bacterial small subunit ribosomal RNA
Source: RNAcentral